UACGUAGGGUGCGAGCGUUGUCCGGAAUUAUUGGGCGUAAAGAGCUUGUAGGCGGUUUGUCGCGUCUGCUGUGAAAAUCCGGGGCUCAACCCCGGACUUGCAGUGGGUACGGGCAGACUAGAGUCCGGAAGAGGAGAGUGGAAUUCCUGGUGUAGCGGUGAAAUGUGCAGAUAUCAGGAAGAACACCCGUGGCUAAGGCGGCUCUCUAGUACGGUACUGACGCUGAGACGCGAAAGCGUGGGGAGCGAACAGG
Molecule: ribosomal RNA, 253 nt
Filed under: uncultured bacterium
Lineage: Bacteria
Description: partial 16S ribosomal RNA
Rfam family: Bacterial small subunit ribosomal RNA
Source: RNAcentral